CAGGUUGACAUCAGUGGAUACCUUGACAAUUUUGUAAUUGUCGUACGGAAGUAAUCUUAAAUUAUCUCCCCUUUCGCUAGGAGAACUUAAUUGGAUAACGUCCAAGGGACACUGUCCAUUUGUGCCUAGGUGUGUGCUGAAUCCACCGGCGCCAUCUAGGACUGGGAUAAGUUUAUACUCGAGGGUGGAUUUGACCUUGUUGCCAAUGAUAUCUAAGACAGGUUCAGAGUUUGAUGAGAUGCCCAAUAGAGGCUGCGUGGCCAAGGUAAGGAUAAGGAAGGAGAGUGUUGUUAUCAAUGAAGUCUUCAUUUUUUUGCCACUGGAAGGCUGGCUGCUGUUUGUUGUGUUGAUUCGUUGUUCAAGAGUUUGAAUUUAUAGAGAGCUAGAGCUUAGUAUGUGAUAAGUUCUUUGUGUUGGAUCAUUAAUCUAAUGUUGGGCUUAUAUGUGAAUAUUUAUGUGUUGUGGAUUUUCACAUAAGGUUAAACUCAAUUAAAAGUGAUCUAUUAAUAUUUUUAGUAAUUUGGACUUUAAUGCAUCUGAUAGUGUGGGCUUUUAAUAUAUACAGACCUAAGGGUAAUUUUUAUUUCUAUUAUGAGUUGAAAUAGGAAUACUUAAUGAUAACAAAAAAAAUUAUCUAUAUAAGUGGUUAUAGUCCCCAUGUCACAUGUAUCAUUCUAUUCUCUACUAGCAUUCCAUCAUCAGAGAGAGUGCAAUGAAAAAGUUAAAGGAUUCUCGACCUAGAAGGCUAAUCACACGACCCUAGAGAGUAAUUAAACAUUAUGUAUUCAGGUACGAUUUCGUAAAUUCAUUUAUUGAUUUUUGGUGAUACAACAUGAAUGUUCCUGGAAUUUUGGGGAUGAUUUUUUUACAAAAAGAUUUAAGGUUCUAACAAGUGGCAUCAAAACCUCUUCAUGUUGAAUUAUUGAAAAUCGAAUUUAUUUUCAAUUAGUAAUUGAAUCUUUAGUAUUUUCAAAUUUAAUAAUUUUGGUAUUAUUGAGUUUUAAAACAACUGUGGUUGUUUUUUAAGGAUUAAUAAAAACAAUUUGGGUUAAUUAACAAAAAGGAUUUGAGAUCAAGGCCGGCGGCAGUCACUUCCAUCCCCAGUAACACCCUCACAGGCCUCGGUAUUCCAGGCUGCGACGAGAAGGAAAUGUCGCGGUACACAUGAAAAGCGGCAACCAUGGCCAUCGCAUCAAGAAUCAAAAAAAGAAAAAAAAGAAAAGAAAUAGCCAACGAGCCACAGAAAGCAAAGCCGUGGCCACUAGGCUGUGGCGCAGUUGCAAUUUCUAAAUUCAAAAAUUGAUAUGUUUAUUAAUAAUUUGAGGUGGCCUAAUUGAAGCAGCAUGUCGCCAUAGUAACUUCUUUUGCGGAAAUUAAUUUGUUUAAUAACAUAACCGAUUAUGUGCAUCUAAUUUCUGGGAAUGUUAGUCUGCCUAAAAUAAAGUUUAUAUUUAACAAAAUCGCCUUUGCAUAUAUGGUAAUAAAUGCGUGAUAAUUAUUUAGUUUUACAUGUGAAUAAAAUUAUUUGGUUUUACAUGUGCAUAAUAAAUCAGCCAAAACAAUGAUUUAUUAGGGGAAAUUAAUUUGUUUUUUAAUAUAAACGGUUGUGUGUAUGUAAUUUUUUUGAAUAUCAAUCGACCUAAAGAAAGGUCCAUGUAUAACAGAGUCACAUGUGCAUUUAUGGUAAUAAACAUGUGAUAAUUAUUUAGUUUUCCAUGUGAAUAAUAAAUCGACCUAAAGGAAGAUUUAUUAUCUGACAUGUUCUUAUUAUCAAUGAUUGAUUACUACACCAAGAUAUCACUUACAUCUUAAUAUUUUGUCUAAAGACGAAGUACGAAUAGAGUGUCCGAUAUCGUGACAUGUGGUAUACCUUUAUUUCAAUUUAUAUAUUCUAUUUUAAGACUUAUAUGAGCUUGUUUUAUUUGUUUGUUGUUCUCUAUUCAGUUAUUACUCUUGCUAAUAUUACUGCAAACAUUAAUUCUAUUCUUAUGCUAAAUGGCUCUAAUUUAAAGUCAUGUCAAGAGAACCUCUUAAUAGUUCUUGCCAUUAUGGAUUUUAUCUUUGCGUUAAGAGCUAAUUCUCUCGUACCUCUUAAUAGUUCUCACAGUCAAAUCGCAUAUGUAUGAUUAUCACGAAGAAGGCCAUUCUGGAAGCGAUCAAGGGCUCAAUAUCUAAAAAGAUGAUUAUGACAUUGGAAAAUGGUUUGUGAAGAACGAAAAGGCUGAAAUAGGUAUGCUUUUGACAACUUCAAUUUCAACAAUGUAUAUGAGCAAAGGAAAGAAAAUAAAAAAAGAUAAGGAAACUGCAAAUAAAACAUAUCAAAAGAAACAACAAAAAACCUGACUAAUCUAAAAGGUACUAGUUGUUUACUCGACGAACUUGAAGGGCAUAAGAAAAAGCAUUGUGCCAAUUAUCAAGCAUGGUGUGCAAAGAAGGGUAUGCUUCUUAAUUUGGUUUGUUCUAAAAUUAAUUUAACUUCAGUACCUAGACACACAUGGUGGAUAGAUUCUAGUGCAAUAACUUACAUUAGUGUGUCUAGCCAGGGUUGCCUGAAUUGUCGAAACCCCAGUGAUGGUAAAAUAUACAUCUAUGUGUGCGAUGGCAAGACGGUUGGAGUGAAAGCAAUAGGAAAAUCUAUAUUAUUAUUAAAGACUGGAUUUUAUUUCAAUCGUGAAAGACAUUAUUCCGUAUUUUAGAUAGAAUUUGAUUUCCAUUUCUGCUUUGGACAAGUUUGGUUUAUCUUCUUUAUUAGGGAAUGAAAAAUUCAGUUUGUUUCAUGAAUCAAAAUUAGUUAGUUUUGAUUUUUUAUCAGCCUAUGAUUAUCUCUAUUUGAUUGAUCUGAUUGCUUUAUUUAAUGAAUCCCUGAAGUCGAGAACAAACUCAGCAAAAGAAUCAAAAGUAUUAGAUAUGACUUUGGUGAUGAGUACUAUGGCAGAUAUGACAGUUCAAAUGAAUAACAUUCAGGACCGUUUACUAAGGACGAAACAAGAGGCUUAAAGACAUGGGAAGGAGUACAAUUUCUCAUUCUAUUUUACUGGAAUUACUAUGGGGAGAAGUAUUUAAGACUACAGUAUAUAUCCUUAAUAGGGUUCCAACUACAACCACUACUAAAACCCAUUAUUGACUGUCAAUAGGUAAUAAGCCUAGUCUCAAGCAUUUGUAUGUUUAAGGAUAUCCAACUGAGGCAAGGCCUUAUAAACCUAAUGAAAAGAAACUAGAUUCAAGGACAAUAAGUUACUAGGCUAAAUGGUACAAGUCAAUUUUUUUAGUCAGGACAUACCUAAUUCUUUGAGGAUGUCGAGUUUGUAGCUGGAAAUAAAACUAGAAAUUUUUGUCUUUGAAAAGGAAUAUAUUAAUAUUCCCGUAGGUGUUUUUGGCAUUGACUAGGGCUUCAUUUGUGGCUUUGUUCAUGACACAACAAAUCUAAACAAUAUCGAAGAACCCUUGUACAUUUAUAGAGGAACAAACUCUACCACCUGAAGCACUUAUGUCAUUAAGGAGAUCCAUUAAAGAAAGAAAAAGUACAACGCCAAAUGACUAUAUUGUAUUUCUGUAAGAACAUGAAGUGGAUAUCGGGGUAAUGGAAGAUGAUCCAAUUAAUUUCUAUUAGGCCAUGCAAUGUUUUAACUCUCAAAAGUGGAUUGAUGCCAUGAAUAAAGAGAUGAAGUCCAUGAAGGACAAUGACAUAUGCGAUCUUGUCUCAUUGAUAGAAGGUACGAAACCUAUUGGUUGCAAAUGGAUAUUUAAGACUAAAAGGGAUUCAAAAGGCGUAUAAAAAGUUCCAAGGCAUGUCUUAUCGUAAACAACUUUAUAAAGAAAGAAGACAUUGAUUAUAAAGAGAAUUUCUCUCUAGUUUCUUCGGAAGACUUUUUCAAGAUCACAUUGGUAUUGGUAUUGCAUUUUAAUCUUGAGUUAUAUAAUGGAUAUGAAUACAAAACUUCUCAAUGGUGGCAUUGAUGAGAUAAUCUAAUGGUGUAGCCAAAAAAAUUUGUGCCAAGAGAUCUAAAGAAUAUAGUUUGCAGACUUAAAAAAUCUAUUUAUGGGCUCAAGAAAGCAUCUCGGCAAUGGUAUUUUAAAUUUCAUCAAGUGAUUAUCUUAAUUAGUUUUGAGAUGAAUCUAGUUGUUGAUUGCAUAUACCAUAAGUUCUGUAGGAGCAAGCAUAUAUUUUUGGUUUUAUAUAUAUGUCGAUGGCAUUUUGUUGUUAGCAAUGAUUUAAAGUUAUUGCAUGACACUAAGAGAUUUCUAUCUAAGAAUUUUAAGAUGAAAAAUUGUUGUACUUUUUCUAAUGCUAUUGGUGUUAAUAUGCAAGUUUACACAACAAGUAAUAUAAUGAUAAGUAUUCGAGAUCGUCUCCACAAGGAUUGAUGUUGUAUGAGUUGCUACAGCAAUCUUAACAGUACAAUUUUGUUCUAAACUAAAUUAAGACAAUUUAUGAAACUAAUGAAUCUAAUUAAAAUAAAAUGCUAAAAAAUAAAAAUGCAAUAAAUAAACUCUCACAUCAAACACAAGGAUAUAACCAAUGAGAAUGGAGUAGUUGAAUAAUUAAACUCACUUAAUGGUUUUUGAUUAUUUUUCUAACCGUCGCUUGUUGGAUAUCUUAUACCUUAAUGUAACUUAACAGUGACAAAUUGUUUUGCUAACAUAAGAUAUAUCAUUUCACAUUUAGAUUCUAUUUACCCUACAAGGUGAAUCCUUAUGCCUAGUUCAUCACUAAUUUUAGAUCAAGCAUGGCCUUUUUGGAUUCAAGUUAAACUCAACUCAGGAAACCCAAUCUAAAACUAAGUAUUGCUAUGAUAUGUUGCACUAAGAUAGGCCAUUUUGUGGCUCUUUCUUAGUUUAUACCAUUAGAUGGGUGGUCAGCCGAAAUAGUGAAUUAAAAUAAGUAUUAUCAAAACAACAUGCUAUAACAAACAUGCAGUAAUACAUAUAUUCAGUCAAUUAACCAUCAAGAUUGUUUAUCACUCAACCACAAAUAAAUUUAGUUCAUGAUUUGUAAGAGAGAAAUAAAUAAAAGACUUUCAACCAUCAAAUACAUCCCCAUGAUUAAAGAGUAAACAAGAAAACAAGAAAACAAGAAAAAAAAAAGGACUGAUUUCCCUAUUGAUCGCUGCAAUUUCUCCUCUGAUGUAGCCCUAAAUCUUGCUCUUGAAUUCUAUUUUUCUCUUGUUUCUUUUCGGUUUUUCUUUUUUGUUGAUGGCUCUCCUCUUUCUUUGUGUGUGUGUCUCUUUUAUAACUUAUAACUAGGGCAACCAGAAGUCUAGGGUGCCUAUCUUCUAGAUUUAAAAACUCCAUAUCACAAUCUUCUAAGUAUCUUGCACGAAAUUUUCUCUGUCAAUGUUUCAGGAUUGCUACAAAAUGGCUACAAUAUCUGCACUAUUCCAAACUUGCUCCAAUUCUUCUGUAGCCAUGCUUUUUCCUUAUUUUUGCAAACCUAUUGCAACAACAUUCCUCCCUUAAAAUUUGAGCUUCCAAUCACCUACAAUUAUGCACACAAUCUAAGCACACAAAUUAUUCUAAAAUAACAUAAUUUAUUAAAAAUAAACUAAAAUGCAAUAAAAACAUGACAUUUACUCUAUAAGUAAUAUUGAUUUAAAUCCAAAAGUGCCUUGAUAAAUCUCCUCUCAUAGAGAGUUAUCACACCCCCACACUUAAACCAUUACUUGUGCUCAAGUAAUGACAACAACAUUAACACUUCAAUCACACAAUCAUGCAACAAAUAACUUAGCUUUGUCAUUAAAUUUGAAAGGAUUCUUCAUCCCUCAGAUCAAGUGUUUAAUCAUGCUCAAUUGCCAUAGCAGUUCAGUUCUAAACUUAGGCCUUAUUUUGUCCAGAUUGUGUGUUUGCCACUUUGAUCAAGCCUAGAGGUGCUGCAACAUUACACGUACAUUAUAUAAUUUAGAGGUAGAACACAAAUAUAUUCACAUAUGGGGGACCAUAAGUCACAAAUAAACUUAAACUGUACUACAACAAAAUAAUUUUUUUUAAUUCUCUUUAAUGUUUCAUUGAUUUUUCAUGUGAAUGUCUAUCACUUGUGGUGAUGACACUCAAUUCCUCAACCAAUGCACAAAUCAGAGUUGUUGCAGCAAUGCUCAUAAUAUUAUUCUUAUCUACAGACACAUUUAACUCAAGGCUGAAUAUGGGGUUCAUGAAUAGACCUGACUACUCAAUAUCCUAGACAGAGGACCUUCUAUUUUUUUUAGGACUUAUAUGUGCUUGUAUUGUCUGUUUGUUACUCUUUGAUUUAGCUAUGACUCUUGUAAAUAUUACUACUAAUAUCAAUUCUAUUUCUAUGCUAAAUGACACUAACUUCAAGUCAUUACAAGAGAACAUCUUAAUCGUUCUCACAGUCAUGGAUCCUAACUUCGCAUUAAGGGUUGAUUACCCCCACUUUUUACGGAUAAGAGUACUUCUAAUGACAAAAAAGAUUUGGAAAGGUGGGAGAAAUCAAAUCUCAUGUGUAUAAUGAUUAUUAAGAAAGCCACUCUAGAAGCAUUCAGGGUCUUAAUGUCUAAAAAGAUAACUAUGACUAAGGAGUUUCUUGCGGACAUUGAAAAAGGGUUUGUUAAGAAUGAAAUGCAGAAAUAGGUACGCUCUUAACAAGUCUCAUUUCAAUGAGGUAUAUAAGUAGCGGUAAUAUCAGAUAGUACAUUAUAGAGAUGUCUCAUCUUACUUCUAAGUUGAGAGCACUUGAACUUGAACUCUUUAUGGACAUGUUAGUGCAUUUGGUUUUAAUAUCCUUACCAACACAUUUUAACUAGUUUUAAGGUAAGCUACAACUGGUAAAAAGAGACUUGGUCUCUAAAUGAGCUCAUAUCAAACUAUGUUUAGGAAGACAAAAAAUGCUCACUUGGCCUCUACCUUUACGGGCAAGUACAUGGGAAAAGAAAAAAAAAAGAAGGAUAAAGAAGCUACAGAUAAAGAACCUCAAAAGAGAUGACUAAAAAGAAAAAAAAAAGGAUAAUCUGGAAGGUAGUAAUUGUUUCUUUUGUAGAGUUGGAGGGCAUAAGAAGAAUCAUUAUACUAGCUAUCAUGCAUGGCCUGCUAAGAAAGGUGUACUCCUUAAUUUGAUUUGUUCUGAGGAUACAUUAACUUCAGUACCUAGAUACACAUGGUGGAUAGAUUCUAGUGAAACAACUCACACUAGGGUGUCUAUGCAAGGUUGCCUAAAUUGCCAAAAGCCUAGUAAUGGUGAAAGAUAUGUCAACGUGGCAAUGGCAAGACGAUUAAAGUUAAAGCAAUUAGAAAAUUUAUAUUACUAUUAAAGAUUAGAUUUAAUUUGGAUCUUGAUAAAACAUUUAUUGUUCUAUAUUAACUUGAUUUUUAUUCCUGUUUGGAAAAUAUAUUUAUUUUUCAUUUGGGAAUAGAAAAUUGAGUUUCUUUCAUAAUUCAAAAUUUUUUGGACCCAGUUCUUUGUCAGGUUAUGACAAUAUUUAUUUAGAUGAUACGACUGCUUUAUUUUAUGAAUCCUUAUAAUUAAGUACAUGAGGUAUAAAGAGAAAAUUACCAAUGAGAAUUUGGCUAUGUUAUGACGUAAGAGAUUAGGUCACAUUUUUAGACAGAGAAUAGGGAGACGUGUGUCAGAUUAACCCCUUAGAUUUACAAAUUUUGAUGUUUGUGCUAAUUGUACAAAGGGGAAAGAAACCAAUCAAAGGAGAUUUGAAGCCAACAUGACUUUAGAAGUCAAAGAACCUAUACAUACAAAUAUUUGUGGGCCAUUUACGUAGCAGCUUAAAAUGGGUAACAAUGUUUUAUGACGUUCACCCUCUAUAAAAAAUCACAGUCAUUGGAUAUGUUAAAAAAUUUUAAGGUUAGUUGAAAACCAACUCUGCAAAAGAAUAAAAAAAGUGUCAGAUCUCACUAUGGUAGAUAUAAUAGUUUCAGGGAACAACAUUCAGGAUAAUUUACUAAAUUCCUAGAGGAAUACAGUAUCGUCCCACAAUACACCAUGUUGGGUUUGCCAACUAUGAAUGGUGUUGUUGAAAGAUGAAAUAAGAUGUUUGCAAUAAGUUUCCAACUAAAGUGACUACCAAAAUAACCUUAGUGACUACUAAAGUGACUACCAACUAAGGCAUGGCUUUAUAGGCCUAAUAAAAAUAAACUAGACUCAAGGACGGUGAGUUGUUAUUUUAUUGAAUACUUUGAACAAACUAGGGGGUACAAGUUUUAUGAUCCCACGACUAAGCCAGUAUUCAAGUCAUAAAAUACUUGGUUUUUUGAAGAUGUAGCGUUCACGGGGGAGAUACAGCUAGAAACUUUGUCUUUCAAGAAAAAUAUGUUGAUAUUCCUACCAUUGUUAUUGGUAUUGAUCAAGAUCUCAUUCUUGACCUUGUUAAAGGCACAACAGAUUAAAACGAUGUUGAAGAGCCCUUAUACAAGAAAUUUUUCUAGAAUAACAAUCUCUACUACUUCAAUAACCUAUGCCAUUAAGUUCACUAGAGAAACUAGAAGUAUAAUGUCAAAUGACUACAUUGCAUUUCUUCAAGAUUAUGAAGUGGACAUUGAAGUGAUGGAAGAUGAUCAAAUCAAUUUCCAUCAAGCAAUGCAAAGUUCUAACUCCCAAAAGUCGUUUGUUGCCAUGAAUGAAGAGAUGAAAUCUAUGAAAGACAAUGACAUGAUAAAUUUUCUCAUUGCUAGGAGAUGGAAAACCCAUUGGUUGCAAAUGGAUAUAAAGAGACUUUCUCUCUAGUUUCCUUGAAAGACUAUUUUAGGAUCAUAAUAACAUUGGUGGCGCAUUUCAAUCUUGAGUUACAUCAUAUGGAUGUGAAUACAACGUUUCUCAUGGUGACAUUAAUGAGAUGAUAUAUAUGGUAUAGUGAAAAUACUUUUUGUCCAGAGACCUAAAGAAUAUGUUUGCAAACUUGAAAAAUCCAUCCAUAGACUCAAGCAAGCAUCUCGACAAUGGUAUUUCAAGUUUUAUCAAGUGAUCAUCUCUUUCAAUUUUGAGAUGAAUUUGGUCGAUGAUUUUAGUGGAUGCCAAGAUAGUAUGAAAUCUACUUCGUGUAAUAUUUAUCUACUAGCUGAAGGUGUUGUCUCUUAGAAGAGUACUAAACACUCUAUUAUAGCGUCUUCUAUGAUGGCAGCACAUAUUAUAGUAUAUUAUGAGGCAACCAAUCAUAAAAUAUGGAUGCUAAAUUUUGUCAUGGGCUUGUGCAUAGUAGAUGGUAUUGAUAAACUACUCAAGUUAUUUUGUAACAAUAAAUCAGCAGUGUUGUAUUCUAAUAACAAUAGGAAUUCGACGAAGUCAAAGCAUGUAGAGAUUAAAUUCCUAGUUGUUAAAGAGUUCAAAGUGGACAAUUUUCUAUAGAGUACAUCGGCAUAAACUCCAUGAUUGUGAAUCCACUUACUAAGGGAUUACCACCUAAAAUGUUUUAUCAUCAUGUUGCUCAUUUAAGUGUCAUGUUAUUAAAGGAUAUUCAAUUUUAGUAGGUGUUUAUGGUUUUAGACGCUCUUAUGAUAUGCAUAAUUUUCAAUUAUUUGAGGUUAUUUUCUGCAGAAAUAAAGUUUUGCUUUAUUCAGACUUUGAUUUCGGUAUGAUUUGAUCUCAUUAAGGUUUAAGGUGGACUAAUUAGAAAUAGUUAUGUUAAAAUUAUAUUGCAUGAAAUUUCCAUACUAAACAUCCACAUCAUGAUCCAUGUCAUUCAAUUAUAUUGGCAUAAUGAAUAUUGAUGGGUUAAUUUAUGACAACUGCGACAAAGGCCACUUUGACCCUAUGUUAGUACGAUUAAUGGAAUAGAUUGGUUACACAUACAUUUCGGUAAUGAUAGUAAAGUUGAGUUUAUACAGUUAUUUUUGCCAAGCAUGGUUAUAAGGUUCACAUAUAGCCCAAGUAGCAGACUGUUGAAUCCUUAGUCCAACAUUGGCUUUAUAUAUGAAUAAAUAUAUGUUACAAAUUAUCUUAUAAGGUUAAGCCUAAUUAAAAGUAAUCCAUUAAGGUUUUUGGUAAUUUGGGUUUUAAUGUAUAUGAUAGGGUGUAGACCCUUAAUGCGUAGAGAUUUAAGGUUAAUUUCUAUUCCUAUGAUUUGUUGAAAUAGGAAUGCCUAUUGAAAUCUGGAAAGUAUAAAUAUUUAUGGUCCUUAGGUCACACGUAACAUUCUAUUCUCUUCUGACAUCUCAUCAUCAAAGAGGGUGUAGGGAGAAAGUUCAAGGAUUCUCUAAGAUAACAUGUUGAUCUAGAAGACUAACCACACAAAUCUAGAGAGUAAUUAAGCAUUAUGGAUUCAAGUGCGCUUCUGCAUAUUCGACAGGUAUUGCAUAUGACUAGCGAUUAUCAAUAGCAUGAGGCUGAUGAUCUACAUUGGUGCAAGGCCCUACUGCAUUUAACGAGAUCUACAUGUGAUGGUGAUGCGCGACUAUUAGCUUUGCAUAUGAUAGUGAUAGUGAUGGGAUCAAUCAUGGCUCUGCGUGCGAUGGUGAUCAAAUCGAACAUGGAUGCUACGUUCAAUGACCCGUGCUGGAUCAUUUUUUUAAUUGAGGGCAAAAUGGGGUUUACAAAUUUUUUGGGGGGCAAAAUUGGAACUCCUAGGAAUCCGCAUUCCCCAUAUCCAAAUUGGGGUGGGCCUUACGAUUCCAUUUUCGAUUCCUACUCUUAUUUUUUAAAGUAAACAUUGUCAAUGAUUCCGGUUCUAGAUUCUGAUUUCCCAAUCUGGGAAGUAAACACUCCCUGAAUGUAAAAUAAAACAUCAAUUAAGUAAAUGAAACAUAGGACUUAUAAAUAGAAAAUAAACAACAAAUUGACAUAAAAGUGGUAAAUUGGAUAUUGGCAAAAAGAACAAAAGCUUAUGAAUAUAAAAUAAAACUUAUAAAUAAAUAUUAAGUGUAAAAUAAAACAUAAAUUAUGUGAAUAAAACAUAAGACUUGUUAAUAGAAGGUGAAACAAGUAAAUUAAUAUAAUAAUUAAUAAAAAAUAAAACUUACAAUUGUAAAAUAAGAACUCAUUAUAAUAAUGAUUACCUUAGAUAUUUGUUUAUUUUGCUUCUAAAUUGAAUAAUAAAAGUUAUGAGUUUUUAUAAUAUAUGUGGUGAUAUAUGUAAAAUUUUAUUAGGAUAAAACUUAUUCUCAAAAUUAGAUGUUGAAAAAAAUAAACUUUUUAUAUUUUUCAAAGCUAUUUGUAUCCUUCUAAAUCUCCUUGAUGGCAACCCCAAAUGAUUUUUUAGUACAUGUAAGAAGUAAAGUUUAAAACUACAUGAAGUAUGUGUAAAAUAGAAGAUUAUAUCUAAUUUUAUUUAUAUAUUAUAUAGGUCCAGUAAUUUAAGAAUAUUCUUUUAUUUUGUUUUGGCUUGACCCAUAUUAAGAAAAAUAAUUUUGUUUAAUUUACCUGUGUAGUAAACAAUACUAUCAUUAAAAAAAAAUUAUGAAUGUCAUAGAAUGAGUAUAAAAUUUGUGGUUAAACCAAUUCAAUAAAACUUAUUCCAAUUGUUUACAAUACAAUUAUUUUUUUUAAUCGAUGAGUGUAAACUAUUUUCUUAAAAUGAAAGUUUAAUAUUGAUUUACAGUUUUAUUUUAUUUUUAUAAUUUUUUUAAUAAUGCUAAAACAUAUAGGUGAACAUUCAAUGAACAUUGACUAAUAUGCAAGAUUUAAGAUAUUUUGAUUAUUUAAGAUAUUUAGAUUAAGAAACAAGUGUGAUAAAGACAAGUCACAAUAGAAAAGAAUAGAAUAUUUCAUGUAAUUUACUUUUUAUUCAGAGUUUGGUCUUCUUUGGCAAUACCCUUAAAAACAAUUAUUCAUUUCCUCUUUAAGAGGGCUCGGUUUGUUGCUGCUUGUUUUAUUAAGAAUUUCUUUCCUUCCCUUGGAUUAGUACUAGAACUUGCAUUAGUAUUAGAACAUGUUCCUCAAAAGACUGGCAUGAAACGAAAUUCUUUCAAAUUCAAACUACUAAUCUAUGUUAGCCAAAUUAGAAACUAGAAAAGAAGAUACUUUGAAUCUUAAUCUUAAAAGUAUCAGAUGAACAGUGUUGGAUGGUUGGUGCUGGAUGAAUAAUAUCAUAAAGAGUAUUGGAUGAACAAUACUAGUUAAUAGUAACCUGAACAGUACCACCAACAAUUAUUCGUGUUUUGGACUUUCAAAGAACCAAUAUUGACUCAUAAUUUGAACAACCUCAGUCGGCUUAAUAGAUAAAGGCUAACUCUGAUGGCAUGUGUCGUCGGAAUCCAGGUAUGGCUGUUUGUUGUGGGAUCCUUUGUAGUAGUCAUGGGGGUAUGUUAGGCUUCUUUUUUUCUUUGUGCCUUUUAAGGAUACAAUCCGCUUCUUAUGUCGAGAUCAUGGUUGUUAUUUUAAUCGUUCAGCUUGUUUAUGAGAGAGGAUGAUUGAAUCUCUAGAUCGAAAGUGAUUGCUUACAAUUGUUAAUCUCCGUAAUGGCCAUCUUCUUUCCCCUAGGACUUUGCUUAAUCAUUAGAAAAUUUAUUUACUAUUAAUAGAGUAAAGGAGGGGACUGCCAUUCUCACAUUGGAAAUAAUUGUACAUAGGCCGUCUUCUUCCUCAUUAAAUGCGAGUGAAGCAGAAAUUUCUUGAAAAUUAGUGAGGUAGAAAAUUUAUAUUGUAUUUUAUAGGGUUAAUGUCGAUUAGUCCUAAUAGUUGUAUGGUUGUAAUAUCAAUAUUAAAAAAAAUUAAGGCUUGCCUUACUCAUAUUUUUAGAGAGGGAAACGAUGUAGCAGACAAGUUGGCCAAUUUUGAUGUUUGUACUUCUUCUUUUAUUUGGUGGUCGAAACCUAAAGUUUUGCCUUUACUCCUUAAAACUCACAUUAUCUCCCUAUUUAUUGAUUCAAGUGGUAAUUGAUGCAAUUACAUCUUUGCAAGCAUUUUCCUCUAUAUUUUUACUUAUAUAUAUAUUCAUGUAUUUUAUUGAAUUUUUGUAUUAGCUUCUUUUGAGGUAAGGCUCAUUAUAUCCCUUUUUAGGUGUAAUGAUAGAAUGGGGCAAUGGAAGUGAAUUGAUAGGGUAAUUAUAGUACCGAACCAAGCCAAUGCAAUUAGCCUAUGCUUUAAUUGAAACAUGAUUAGAUCUUGUUCUAAUCCAAAUGACUCAAUAAGAUUUUUAACAAUGCUUUAGGUGAGAUUAGAUAAUGCUCUAAUUCAAAAGACUCUACAAGAGAGAUUCAUUAUAGAUAAUCCCAAAGAAAAUUAUAAAGAGGGAUAUUUUUAUUAAUAAAAAAAUUAUGAAAAUGAUAACGGGAUUUCCUUAUUUAUAAUAGUGUAAACCUACUUCCUUAAGUUAACUUAAAAAGGAAACUAAAUCACAAUUAUAAUAGAAGUAAAACACUAAAACACUUACCAUAAUUGACUCUAAUUAAAAUAAAAUAUAUCAAAAAGAACUUGAAGGGGAGCAUCACUUCAUCUUAGAGCUUGAACUCAGUAGCCUCGCUAAUCAGCUAUGUUAAAACUCAAAAUUCUCCAUUUUUAUAUUUUUCUUGUGCUUAUGAGUAACCCUUUCAAAAGAUGAAGUCCUAUCCGAACAAAUCACUUUAAGCCUUUUAAGACUUUCCCAAAUCUCGCUUAAUGUUCCCACCAACUAACUUUAUCUUUGCAACCAAAUCUUCUUCAAAAUAACCUUAUUUCUUCAACGUGGAUAGGCAUAAUCAUGUCAAUGAUUGCUAGAGCCUCUUCAACUUGAUUUUGUUGCACAGACUCGAUCUUCUUGUUAGGCUUAAUUUGCAAAUUAACAGUAAGUUGUACUUCUUUGUUAGAAGUUUUAGACAAAUCAACAAUAUUAUCAUCUUCUACUUUCACCGAUGUAAAAAGAAAUGGUUCGACAUUAUCUAAAUGAACAAAAUGGUCUUCUAUCAAUUGUCUUGUAUCAAACUAUUCUUUGAUUUCAUCUAGUCCAUGUCGAAUCCUUGAUUCUUGCAAUUGUUCCCACCAAUCAAGCACAGGGGCGGAUGCAGCACAUGACCAGUAGGGGCUCAAGCCCCCACUGGCAAAAAAAAAAUAAAUUUAAAAAUAAAAGAAAAAAAUAUUUUAAUUUUUUAAAUAGCCCCCAAUAAAUUUAUUAAAAUAAUCACUAUAAAAUAUGAACUCCCAUAAAAUUUAAACUUUGACUUUUAAGAAAUAUAAAAACUUAUAUUUUAAUUAAAAAUAAUGAUAGCCCACCACCCAAAAUAUUUUUUAUUUUAAAAAAUAUGGUUAAUUCUUCCAAUUUAUAUAAUAAUUAUAGAACGAACAUUUUUAGUAAUAAAACUCAUGAAAAAUCAUUUUUGGAAUCAGAUGUGAUAAGUAAUAGUUUGAUUGUUUAUAUGGGAAACAAUAAAUUUAAUAAUAUUGAUAAUGAGUCUAUUGCAUAACAUUUUUAAAAUAAAAAAAUGCGUAGAGAUUAAUUAUAAAUGUAUUAGUAAAUAUUUUAUAUAUUCAAAAUUUUAAUUUUUUUAUAUUUACUAUUAUCUAAUUUAGCUCCCGAUAAAUUAUUUUUCUAGAUCCGCCACUGAUCAAGCAUCACCUGUCAACUUAAAUGAUGCAUAAGAGAUAACAACAUUCAAAGAGAUAUUUUGAAGAAAAUCGUCCAUUGUCCAUAUCCAGUCAAAAAUAUCAUCAAAAUUACCAAUAAAAUUUAGGAUAACUUCAAAUUCGAGGAGACAAUAUGAACUUUGAUAAUCCAUCUUUAUCAUUUUUUCCUUAAAUUAAAAAUAUAAACAAUGGCAAAAUUGUAAGUAAGGCUUAACUCUCGUGUUUGGUAUUGCCCGCGGUUGGUGGUCGUGAUUGGGACCGGAGGGUGUUGGAUCUGCAAGAUAUGGUGGCUGGGAGCAUGCUGAUGUCACUGGUGACAAUCAACUCGCGGUGGCAGAGGUGUAUCAAAAUGCUAAAUUUGUGCUACAAGUUUGGUUCGGUUGCAACAAUUCUGGCUACUAAUCAAACCAAGUGGUAAAUGGGAUUUGAUUAGCGAGACUUACUAAUUUUGGUGGUGACUUGGUUCAACAGUGGUAAAGUUGAAAAUGGCGGGGGGUGAGUGGUGGAGCUUGCAAGUUUUGGUUGUUCACACAGUUGCUACACGACUGAUCAAAGGCAGAGGUUGGUCAGGUUUGGUUGUUGGUUGAUAUUGAUUCUGGUGGAGGGUUGAACGACAGCAGAGCCCAAAGGAAUGGUUGCUGAGCUGGCAGCAGCAGUGGCUAGGUUUGAUUUGGGGAAUUUUCUGAUUUUUUUUCUUAUUUUUUCAGUGGUGGAUUCAAAGGGAUGGAUGUGGGUUGCCUGGAAAGAUGUCCAAUUAGCACAGAAUUGGCCUGAUACCCACUGACUGAGUGGAGUACUGGUAGUGAAUUGAUAGUGCAGGAAACGCUAAAUAUCAUUCUUGCACCGAACCAAAUCAAACGUCAUUAGUUUACGCUCUAAUUGAAGCGUGAUUAGAUAUCGUUCUAAUUCAAACGAAUAAAUGAUAUUUUUAGCAACGCUUUAAGUAAGAUUAGAUGAUGCUCUAAUUUAAAUGACUCUAUAAGAGAGAUUUUUUUAUAGAUAACCCCAAAAGAAAUUAUUAAAGUGGAGUUUUUUUUAUUAAACAAAAUGUUAUGAAAAUAAUAACAAGAUCUCCAUAUUUAUAAUAGAGUAAAUCUACUUCCCUAAGUUAACUUGAAAGAAAACUAAAUUAAAAUUAUAAUAGAAAUAAAAGAUUAAAAUACAUAAUAUAAUUUACUCUAAUUAAAAUAAAAAAUAUUAAAAAAAUCUAAAAUAAUAAAAUUCUGAAAUCCUAAAAUAACUUCCUACAGCACGUAAUUUUUCUUUUUAUAAUUAAUAAAUUUUGCUCAAACCAUCGAGGUUUGUCUUAAUAAAAAUGUUUUUUAGAGUAUAAAUAACUUUACCGUUACUUAGAAUAAAAAUUCUCGGAGCAACCGAACUUUUUUUAAAGCGGAAAUUGGGAAUUGUUUUCCUUCUUUUCUCGAUUUUUUCCCCAUCUUUCAUAAAUUGGCCCACAAUUUGAAUUACAAGGACCAUAUUUUUUCCUUGACAACCAUUUUUCUUUAUACCCAAGGACCUCUAGAGUAUGCAACUUUUAUGGGGGUGCAAUUCAUGUCGCAGAUUGAACCAAGUCUUCUAGUAACUAUUAGGAAAUAUAUCUUAUUUUUUAAUAAAAAUUUCAUAGGAUAUUUUCCCCUUUAGUGAGAUUCUUAUUUAAGAAAUAAAUAAUUUUUCUUUCGAAACUUCACUUAUUUAUGGAGGAACAAAACUACUACAAGAAAAAGAAUACUUCUCCUUCAAGAAGUAAUCAUUAUAUAUAAGGAAUUUAGGAUCAUUUAUUUGUGUAACACAACCAUCAAUUUUCUGUAAGUAGAUAGUUUCUAACUCAAAUGGUAGGUCUAUUGUGAGAUUGAGUAUCAUUAAAACUUUGGGUGUGAGAAAAAUGCUUGAGUGAUUGCAAUAAUUUUUUACAUAUUAAAUUUUUUUAUGUAAAUUUUUCUGUUGAGUGAUUAAUUUUACUCUAUCUAUUUUUUUAUUAUUAUUUAUUUAAUAUUUUUUCUUACAAGAUCUUGGAUGGAAUUAAAAUUCGCUAGAGAUAACUACUGAGAAUAAGACAAUGAAUUUGUACAAUGUGAUUUCAGAAAUUAUUUUUCACGUUGAUACAUUCAAAUGCGAUGUUAAUUGCGAGAAAUGGCCAACACAAUAAUUUUUCUUUUUUGUUUUGAUUUGUUUUAUUUUUCUCCCUUCACAUAACAGCCACUCAAGUCUAUUCCAAAAGUUUCCCCGUAUAAAACAAAAAAGCCAAUAAUGCAAGAUGACAAUUCGUACGUAAUGAUAGAUUGAUAGAUCAGUGUGGCUCCCCGUGAAAAGGAGAUAAUGCUAGAAAAUAUUUUUCACGUUUAUACAAUCACAUGCGAUGUUAAUUGCGAGAAAUGGCCAACACAAUAAUUUUUCUUUUUUGUUUUGAUUUGUUUUAUUUUUCUCCCUUCACAUAACAGCCACUCAAGUCUAUUCCAAAAGUUUCCCCGUAUAAAACAAAAAAGCCAAUAAUGCAAGAUGACAAUUCGUACGUAAUGAUAGAUUGAUAGAUCAGUGUGGCUCCCCGUGAAAAGGAGAUAAUGCUAGCUGUCAGAUGAUUGUGUUUGUGUUUUCUGAAUGCUAAAGGCGCCAUCGGACUCUGUGGUGUAGAUUCACUGAGCUAUUUCAUCAUGCUUUUCUUAUUUCUGUUAUUUACAUUUAAUACGAGAAUUGAUUUGGGUGAGAGCGACUUUAGAGAAUUAUUUGUUUCUAUGAUGGUCCCACACCCAAAAUAUACGCAUCAGCAGUUCAACGUAGAAAUGAUAUUAGCUAAACAAUAUCGGCGGGGGUUGCUAGCCUUUGCAAGAAAGAAUCUCUCUACACGUUACCUAACAGGCUAGAAUAGGGACAGAAUUUUCUUAAUUACAAUCGACUGGGUGUAUUGUGGCGAAUUUUUUGAGUAAUAUAUCUUGAAGUAUCCUUGAAUAUUCCUUGUUAACACCAUUUCGAACACAACUUUGCAAUAAUCCUUACCCGGAAGUCAUGCAUGCUUGAAGUAAUUUGUCCCUCAAAAAUGAAUGUUGUUUUGUCAAAGCAUGCAUGGAUCGUGCUCCUUAAUAAAACUAUAAUGAUAUUACAGUUUUCCACUUUACAAUUUAUCAUGAAUAACAAUAGUUAUUGUUCAAAAUCAUUAAAAUCAACUCUUUGAUUACUGUUAUGAUUAGGCAGCUAUACAUAAAAGGCUACUACAGUAAAAUAUUUGGUAAUCAAUUGUUACUGUGGUGUGGAAACUAAAUUGAUGUUAUACUACACUUGUAUCAUGAAAAAUCUAUAAUAUUUUUUAUAUUUUUGUUAAACUUAUUGUUCAAAAUUAUAUUUAUUACACAUUAUUGACUCUUAUUUCACAACAAUUACAACACUUUAAUAACAAAGGAAGCCUAAAUUUCUAAUAAUUAGAGAAUGUAUGCAAUACCUAUCAGAUAAACUAAAAGACAAUGUAAUAAAAGAAAAAUUGCGAAGGGCUGUGUUUCGGCAAGUUGUUUGUAAGAAGUUCCCAAAGCUGCCAAGUCUAAGAUCUUAGUGGUCUUGUGAGGGCAUGGUUGAUAAACUACUAUUGUAGUUUUCUUCAGGAAGUCCUGUAGCUGUGAGGCUUAUCAUACAACGAAGACCGUGGAUAUUUCCACUAUUUGGGUAGAAGAUAAUAAGCCUAAUGAAUUAACUACGAAGGUAGCCAAUAGUCUAAUAAAUUAAUUAGAGAAUGCAUUUUUCAUGUAAUAAAUGACAUAGUUAUUAUUUACAUCCUUACUAGAUUUUUAAUUACCUUAUUCAUCGGUCCCGUUUAAGAGAUAACACAUAAAGUCAGCAUUUUUUUGUACAUUUACCAUUCACCUUUCUUUAGAAGAUUUUAUGACAUUUCUAAGUAGUUCAGUGCCAAAAUUAAAGAGAAAAUGAAAAUGAUUAGUCUUAUAUAAUUAAUAAAAGAACGCUCGCAAUUUUUUAUUUUUUGCUAAUCCCAAUGACUUAUGUAAUAUUUUAAUUUAAAAUUUUAAAUAUUACACACCUUGAGUUACUGUUUGCCCUUAUUUUAUAAUUAAUUUUGUUAUCUCUUAACGAAAGAGAUAAAACAUAUAAGUAAAAAUCUACUAGGAAUAUAUAAGUGGCAAAUGUUACAUCUUAUCAUUGAUGAAACAUGUAUUCUCUGUAAAUUAAUUAGCAAGAAUUUAUUCAAUAUUAUUUGCAUUAAAUGGACAUGUGUUGCAUAUUUUUGUUGAUUGUCUUGAUGUAUGUUGCUUUGGAUAUGAUAUCCUCGAAGUAUGUGGUAUAGAUAUAUAUUUUGAAAUUAAUAAUUGGUAAAGGCUUUUUAUUUUUUUACUUUUUAAAUCAGAGUGGUAAAGAUUUGAAUAGCCGUGUGUCACUAAUAUUAGUGUUUUAUAUGGCCCUAUUUUUGGCUUGCCUUUGUUUCAAUGGAUACGAUACAUAAUAAUACUUGCUGAUCAUGCUCAUUGUGGUGAUUUUAUGGCAAUGUAUUUGUCUUUCUUCUUAUUUUAAAUAUGUAUACAAAACAUUUAUAAAGCAUUGACAACAUGCAUGCAUGGAGUCUAUAUAACAAUACUUUUAAAAAAUGUACACAUAAUUAGGGUAGAGAUUAACUAACAGCGAAAGCAUCAUAGGCUAUUUUAUUUAUGCUUAACCAUAGAGAUUAAAGAGUACUAGCCUGGUCCAUUAUUUAGAAUAAUACAGCCUGUUGGCUUAUUCAUUACAGAGACGGAAAUAACAUAGAUCUUCCACUAUCAGCUGGAAAUAACACAACAGGCAAAGGCAGAUUUGGCUGAUCAUUAUCAUCAACCACAACUAGACGUUGGACGCCAUCCACAUUAGAAACGCCAACGUCUUUGCAGAGUGUAUCGCAAGAACCAUUAACAAGUGUUGAACAAUGAACAAUUUUGUAUAGACAGGGAAUGUCUAGUGCUAUUUUCAUAUCAAAUAUUGAUGCACUAACUUUCUCAAGUUUAAAAAAAUUUUGACACGUUUUACCUUCACCGAUUGUUAUAAACUGCUUUCCUAAUGAAGCGUUAUCGUUGUCAACUUUCCACAACGAAUCUUUGUUACACUGCUGAAGAGAAGAAACUCUUGAGAAUUUCAAUUUAAUAUUAGUGGAUUCCCGGACAAUUGUGGAAUUGUCAUACGGAAGUAAACCUAAAUUCUUUCCCCUUUUGUCCUUAGGACUUAAUUGGAUAACAUCCGUUGGACACUGUCCAUUUUUGCCUUUGUCCGCGCUAAUUCCACCGCCGGUUUUAACUCCCCAGAGUGCUGAGACAAGAUAAUACCUGUGGCUGGAGUCCACCUGGUUGCCAUAGACAUCUAAGAUAGGUUCAGAUUCUGAGGCGCCCAACUGAGGUUUUGUGGCCAAAGCAAGUAUAAGGAAGGAGAGUGUUGUUACUAAUGAAGUCUUCAUUUGUUUUUUUUUUUUUUUUGAGGAUAGCUGCUGUUUGUUUUGUGAUCAAUUCGGUAUUCCAGUGUUUGAAUUUAUAGAGAGCUAGAUUUAAUAGCUGAUAAGGUCUUUGUGGUAGCUGCUUGGAUGGUCAUGUAUUAUUGAGUCUUCCUUUUUUUCAUUUUCGUAAAUUUGUCAAUUUUUGGUCAUAUGGAAAUAUAGUAUGGGUGACACAUACAUAAG
This 20063-nucleotide long non-coding RNA is filed under the name Citrus sinensis (sweet orange). Its description in RNAcentral is "long non-coding RNA (CSIN_LNC002107)". Lineage: Eukaryota; Viridiplantae; Streptophyta; Magnoliopsida; Sapindales; Rutaceae. The record is from RNAcentral.